UACGAAGGGUGCAAGCGUUGUUCGGAAUCAUUGGGCGUAAAGCGCGCGCAGGCGGAUUGAUAAGUCAGGUGUGAAAUCUCGGGGCUCAACCCCGAAACUGCGCCUGAAACUAUUAGUCUAGAAUGUCGGAGGGGGCAGGGGAAUUUCACGUGUAGGGGUAAAAUCCGUAGAGAUGUGAAGGAACACCGGGGGCGAAGGCGCCUGCCUGGACGACUAUUGACGCUGAGGCGCGAAAGCGUAGGUAGCGAAUCGG
This 253-nucleotide ribosomal RNA is filed under the name uncultured bacterium. RNAcentral's name for it is "partial 16S ribosomal RNA". It matches the Rfam family "Bacterial small subunit ribosomal RNA", at positions 524 to 776 of the family's 1533-position model. The record is from RNAcentral.